This 497-nucleotide ribosomal RNA is filed under the name uncultured bacterium. RNAcentral describes it as "partial 16S ribosomal RNA". It matches the Rfam family "Bacterial small subunit ribosomal RNA", at positions 28 to 507 of the family's 1533-position model. The record is from RNAcentral.
GAUGAACGCUGGCGGCGUGCCUAAUACAUGCAAGUCGAGCGAACAGACGAGGAGCUUGCUCCUCUGACGUUAGCGGCGGACGGGUGAGUAACACGUGGAUAACCUACCUAUAAGACUGGGAUAACUUCGGGAAACCGGAGCUAAUACCGGAUAAUAUAUUGAACCGCAUGGGUCAAUAGUGAAAGACGGUUUUGCUGUCACUUAUAGAUGGAUCCGCGCCGCAUUAGCUAGUUGGUAAGGUAACGGCUUACCAAGGCGACGAUGCGUAGCCGACCUGAGAGGGUGAUCGGCCACACUGGAACUGAGACACGGUCCAGACUCCUACGGGAGGCAGCAGUAGGGAAUCUUCCGCAAUGGGCGAAAGCUUGACGGAGCAACGCCGCGUGAGUGAUGAAGGUCUUCGGAUCGUAAAACUCUGUUAUUAGGGAAGAACAAAUGUGUAAGUAACUAUGCACGUCUUGACGGUACCUAAUCAGAAAGCCACGGCUAACUACGUG